RNAcentral lists this long non-coding RNA (8057 nucleotides) under Homo sapiens (human). RNAcentral describes it as "HSALNT0151292". Lineage: Eukaryota; Metazoa; Chordata; Mammalia; Primates; Hominidae. The record is from RNAcentral.
GUGAGGGGCGGGAAGAGCGCAGCUGCGAGCAGGCGGGCGGAGGGUAGCGGGAAGCCCGGGCGGAGGGGGCGGCGUGAGAGCCUCGGGGCGGGGGCGGGGCCUGGCGCGUCCGCCGAGCGCGGGGGUUUGUUUAUUUUCCCGGUUGGUAGCGGCGCUGGCGCUGGUUAGAGGUUCGCCGGUGACGUGAGCGCCCGAGUUGGGGGAGAGGACCAGAACCACCUGCUGGAGAAAGGGAGCUACGGGGGCCGGGCAGGGUCCAAACGCCUCACGUGGGCGGCGGCGCCACGGUCUUCGGGGUCACAGGGAAGAGAAGGGCUCUCCUCAAGCGGGUGGAAGGAGGGAGGCCUCCCGAGGGAAUGAGACUCCAGGCCACUCCCCCGCAGCAAGGCAGGAUCACCUGCGUCGCGGAGAGCAGUUAGAGGUCCCUGGAGUGGAAAAGGGCAGUGGGACCUGGUAGCUUGGGUUCCCUGCAACUUGGGGUUCGACCUCCAGGCAAUGAAGUAGGGAUGGUCCUGCAAGUCAAGAUUCCAGUAGCAAGAGUGCAUCAGAUCUCUGUAAGGAAAAUAACUAACAUUGCUCAGUUCCCUGUAGAGUUGCAGGGCGCUUUGACGUUAUCUCCCUUGGUUCUCCAUCAGGUCGUAGUGGACUAAUUUUACAGGCGAAGUUAAGUGACUUACCCAAAACCUCACAGCUAAUAAACGGCAGAGCCGGCACCCAGCUGUACUGGCUUCCAGCGCAUCCCAUUAUCUCCAUAAAUCCCCCUGAUUCAACUAAUAUUAGACGCCCCACAGGUAAGAUGCUUCAGAGUUAGAGGGGAGUUGAAGAUACCUUUGCCUUCAAAGAAGUAAGGAAUGAAACAAAGAUAAAACAGACAAUAAAAGACAAACCAUGAUAGGUGCCACGUGAAAAGUGGCAGAGUACUGCCGGGAAUCAAAGAACCGUGUAUAUCUGUCUUGGGGAUAAGGAAAGAAACGCAGCAUGAAGGAGUAGGCAUUUGGGAUUGACCUUGAAGGAGACAGGGAGAGUUUUACAGCAAGAAGGGAUAGCAUGAGAAUAUAUAUGAAGGCGAAUCAGUGAAAGUUGUGUUGGGGAAAGAGCAAAGACUCCAGGUAUGUUGAGAGGUAGAAAAGACAAAGGAGUAUGGGGCCUAAGAUACCAAAUGGAUGAAUUUAUAUUUAAUUCAGUAUUUUGAGUUUUUAUGGUUCAGAAGUUUGGGGGAAGAAAAGGAAGGUUUUUUUUUUCUUUAUGCUAGUGAUUUAUCUGUGAAGGGAAGCAGAAAUCAGAGGUGGAAAAACUGACAGAUCUACUGUAGGCCAGGUAAAAGGUAAUGAUGAGUCUGACCUAAAGGGACAGCCAGGGGAAUUUAAAGAGCAUAGUUGAGAGAUGAUGUGCAUGCAGAAUCUAUAGAAUUUGCUAACUGAUUGAUUAAUUGUGGGUAGGAAGAGAGAAAUCAAAGAAAGUGGAGGUUUUGAGUUUCUAGAUAAUUGCAAGAGAGAAAAGAGACAAUUACAAAGGAAAGGAGAAGGAGCUACUUCUUGAGAGAAGAUCAGUUUAGAUUUAGACAUUUUAAGAAUUCAAAGGGUUGUCAAGACAGCCAGACGGACAUGGACACUAAUAAGUUAGAAAUAAAGGUUUUGUAAUAUGGGAAAGAGGACUGAGCUAGAAAAUAGACUCAUAGAUAAUCAGCCUAGGAGUGAUAUUGCUGUGAGAUAAAAGAAGAAAACAAAGUCAGAAUCUUGGAAAACACCCUCUUCAGAGUCUCGCUGCUCAAAACGUGGUCAGUGGCCCAGCAGCACUGACAUGAGGACCUUAGUUGGAAACUCAGAAUCUCAGGCUCCACCCCAGACCUGCUGAACCAGCAUCUUCAACUUAACAAGAACCCGAAGAGAUUUGUGCCACAUCAAAAAGUUUGAGAAGCUCUGAUCUAGGUGAGCCAAGCCAGCAAAGAAAGGGGGUGGAGCAGAAAAUGGGAGGAGAAUAGGGUAAUGCAGAAUCAUCAAGACAAGGUAAAUUGGACUUUCACAAAAACGGGGCUGGAAGGAGUGUUGCUCAACAAUAUCCAAAACCACAGAGGUUGAAAAGCACAAGGAAAGAAGCUGGACCCUGGACACGGUGACUCUGAUUCAAUUAUGCAGAUGACCACAAGCCUCUGGGGUUGGCAGAGCCACAAGAAAGAAGGUGCCUGGAUGAAGGAGAGCUACCCACUGACCUGGACACCCAAUUAUAGGAUAGACAGUGAAGUGCAACUACAGCCCGCAAAUGAAAAUGAAUAAAAUUAAUCCAGCCCCUCAAGGCAGUCAUCUGUCUUAGAGCUAUUGGAAUCCUGGAUCAUUGUGGGAAAUGAAAAGAACUGGUUUUUAGCAAGGAGACCAAGAAACUCUACUCCCUAGGGGCUAGCAAUGAGAGAAAGGAAGCCUUGAGUCUUUGAGCACAGGGUGACAGUUUGGGUCCUAUGUGAGAUGAUCAAAUCCACAGCAACAGAGGAAAGGACAAAAGGAAAAGAUACUUCGAUGGAAUCAGCAGCCAUUGAUCCAAUGCCAACUCCAAGACUGGAACGUCGCAAUGAUAGUUCCAAGGCGGAAAUUUGACGUAAUUCUUUUCGACACAGUUUUACAGGUGUGACACCAUGAAGUCGUCCCACAUUUCCCACAACCUGAAUUUGGGAUGACAGUCGACUGAGAUUUUGUAAACUGAUUAUCAUCUGUUUCUGUUUUAUUCUCAUUACCUAACAUAUGCCCACUGGGGGGUGCUAAAGAACUAUGAAUUGGAGGUCUGGAUGCCCAUUUUAAUUCUUCUGAAAGCAUGCCUCCUUCUGGCUUCAGGACUCCAUCUCCAGCCUUAUGAUCUAAAAAUAAUCCCCAAACCAAAAAAUUAGAUAUUAUUUCCUCAAAAUUAGGUGUUUUAAUCAAAACAUCUUAACAUAAAUACAUUAUUAUCACCCAAUAUGCAUAAUGUUGUUCAACUUUUUUGUUAAAUGACUUAUUUUAGAUGAACAGAUGUGUGAAUAUGAAUAUUUUUAUUUCACUUACAGGCAUCUUGCAUGUGAAUAACUCACAACUUUAAUUCAUGGAACAAAUUGAGAAAUAGUCUUUUGGGGGUUUGGUACUCCCUGGAAACAUAAGAGUGCUUUGGGCACCUCUGGUGCCUUUCCAUGCCUGCCUUCUCUGCUGUUCUUGCUACUAGUGAAUUCUAAAUCAUGGCCAAGUGAUGCCAGCACUGGAUAAUAUUGGCUCUGCCCCAUAUCUCGAGGGAAAACUCUGGGACUUGGCAUUAUAUGUGUGGGAAUCUGGCCUUGGUUGGCACUCCCAGCAUGAUAGCAGGGUUCUGCUGUCUGAAUGUACUCUGGGGUGUGCGCCACAAUUUCUGUCAUCGAAAUGGAGAUGAGAGAAUAUGCCCUUGGUGGGGACACCCCACUGGAAUUAGAGUGAAGAGAUCAAAGCUAGAGGUUCUUAAAUCAAAGAAUGUCUAAUAGCAAAGACAAAAACUUGCUUAAGAGAAAUGCAUACAGGUACUAGACCUAAUAUGAUGAAAAAUGCUAACUUCAACAUAUUGAUGCAUGCUUAGUAUACUUUUAGUCCUGCAAAGACAAAAGUUUUUUGUUUGUUUUUUUUUGAGACGGAGUCUCGCUCUGUCGCCCAGGUUGGAGUGCAGUGGUGUGAUCUCGGCUUACUGCAAGCUCUGCCUCCUGGGUUCACACCAUUCUCCUGCCUCAGCCUCCGGAGUAGCUGGGACUACAGGCGCCCGCCACCACGCCCGGCUAAUUUUUUGUAUUUUUAGUAGAGAUGGGGUUUCACCGUGUUAGCCAGGAUGGUCUCGAUCUCCUGACCUCAGGUGAUCCGCCUGCCUUGGCCUCCCAAAGUGCUGGGAUUACAGGCAUGAGCCACCGCACCUGGCCCAGUCCUGCCAAGACAAAGUUUUAAAACACAGGUUGCACAUUGGCAGCUCUCAAGCCAAAUCUGGCCCAUAGACAUGGUUUGCUUGGCCUAUAAUGUUAGUAAUACUUGACCCAAGAUUUAAAAUUUGAAAAGUUUCAUAUAAAAAUAUAGAUUUACAGCUUUUCUAGAAAAACUAUAAGAGUUAACAGUUUCUGAAUUGCAACAGCAGCUGGAACACCGUUGCCACUGACCAUUUAGAUGACUGCUGCAGUCCCCACGGCUCACUCUGGUUCAGGUAGGGGUUCUAGUUUGUAACCCCUGGUUUAAAACAUAACUGACUCUCUAGUUUUUAAAAUUCUCUCAAAAUCAAAUAACCUGAACUAGCAAAUGAUCUAGAUCCUCGUACAUGGAACUCAUACUAAGUUGACCACAGACAGUGGCUCCCAAACUCUGCAGUACAUCAGAGUCACUGGGAAGCUUUAAAAAAUCCUGCUCCCUAGCUGGGUGCAGUGGUUUAUGCCUGUAGCCCCAGCUACUUGAGAGGCUGAGGUGGGAGGAUUGCUCAAGCCCAGGAGUUUGAGGCUGCAGUGAGCCAUGAAUGUACCACUACACUCCAGCCUGGGCAACAGAGCAAGACCCCAACUCUAAAAAAAAAUCCUGCUCCCCAGGUGACAGUAUCUGGGGGAAGGAGUAAGGCAUCUUAUUUUCAAAAGAUCAUAAGAAAAGAGGCUCAUUGCUGAGGCUCACUCCGGAGCCCACUUGGAUUCUUCACAAGAAAGUUUCCCUCUUCCAGAAUUUUAUAAUUGAGGGAACCGACUAGGGAAAGAUUAAUUUGCCCAAGGUCAAACAACUAGUAAAAGAAGUAAGGAUUCCAACCCAGAUCUUUUGACUCUAUUAUCCUUACAUAUAGUUUUAUAGUGAUUUAAAUUGAUACAAGGAUAGGUUUAAAUACAAGUAGAAUGCAGGUUCAUAUAAAACUGAUUUUAUCCUCAUGUUAGAAAACAUAUACACUGUAACAGAGGGAUGACCAUCAAGUGACCAAGAUAUUUUAGUCAAAAGAUGAAUUUUUCUGCAAUUGGAGAAUGCCAAAAAUAUUCAAAGAAAAUAUAAGUCUUGUAGGCAGUCUUCUAUCAAAACCCACUGAACCGCUGGGCACGGUGGCUCAUGCCUGUAAUUCCAGCACUUUGGGAGGCCAAGGCUGGUGGAUCACCUGAGGUCAGGAGUUUGAGACCAGCCUGGCCGACAUGGUCUCUACUAAAAAUACAAAAAAUUAGCUGGGCCUGGUGGCGGCACCUGUAAUCCCAGCUACUGAGGAGGCUGAGGCAGGAGAAUUGUUUGAACCUUGGAGGUAGAGGCUGCAGUGAGCUGAGAUAGCACCACUGCACUCCAGCCUGGGUAACAAGAGUGAAACUCCAUUCAAAAACAAAAAACAAACAAAAAAAAAACAAUGCACCAAAUACUAAGUUAUUAACUAGGAUACUGAUUAUUAAGCAUGUAAAACAUUUUAUGGAACUCAGAGUUUGAUGUAAAUUGCUAUAUUUUAUAAUUCAAACAAACCUUGUUUCAUGUCAUUAUAUUAGAGUAGCAUUAUGAGACAGGAUAUAGUGUAAGCUAUAUCCCCAAUAUAAUUGCAACUGUAUAUUUUAAAGCAUGGGGAAAAUAUGAAAAGAAUUAUGCUCAAAUGUGGGUAGGAUUAUAACUGAUUUGUUUUCUUCAUUUUCAGAUUUUUCUAUAAUGACUAUACAUUAUUUUUAUAGUCAAAAAUAGAAGUAUUUUAAAUGUUUCUAGGUAGAAUAGCAAAUUAGCUGAAAUAGUAUCUCCAACGUUAUUAUCAAGACUAGACUCCUUGGGUAAAUUGGUCAGAACAGUGUUGUUCUCAUUUUACACCUCUCCAAGAUUAACUAUGUUUUAGAUUUGUGUGUGUGUUUGGUUAAAGAGCCAGGAUGAAGAUCCAGAGUUCUUAAACCUGUAUACCACCAUACUACAUUGUCAUUUUAAAGAAAUGUCUAGUAGACUCGGUGGCAUAAACAUGGGCCAUUUACAAACUAGAUGUCUAAUAUCAGAUACCUCAAAUUUGACAGUAGACUUUUUUUCAAAGCUAAAGUGGUCUUAUGUUGACUAUUUUGUUUCUUACUUGAUACUUGUUUACUUUUUAAUUUUUGGCAAGUAAUGUUUCAAGUUAAAGUUUUAGCUAUAUAUAGCAGGCAGUAUUUCAAGUAAAUGAGUUACAUCAGUAAACACCUCUGUAUUACUAAACUGAGAAUCAGAAAAUGUAAUCUCUUUGGCAGGAUUCGUAUGUUUGUAUCACGUCUUUAUCCUCAGGCAACUUUUAUCUUGGAAUACUGAACCAGCAGUCAGAAUAUGAGGGACAUUAGACUGUGUUAUAGUUACUGUUCUGUCCUUAAGUCACUUGCCUUCUCUAAGUGUCAGUUGCCUCAUCUGAAAAUGGAGUUAGCAGACCCCAGCCUAUCCUGAGUUUGAGGGCUAAAGGGAAUUAUUCUUGAAAAUGUCUAUACAUGAUAAAUGUCACAAAUAUAACUUAGCAUUUUUUUUUUGAGACAGAGUUUCGCUCUUGUGGCCCAGGUCGGGGUGCAAUGUCGUGAUCUCAGCUCACUGCAACCUCUGCCUCCCGGGUUCAAGCGAUUCUCCUGCCUCAGCCUCCUGAGUAGCUGGGAUUACAGGCAUGCACCACCACACCUGGCUAAUUUUGUAUUUUUUAAUAGAGACGGGGUUUCACCAUGUUGGUCAGGUUGGUCUCGAACUCCUACCCUCCGGUGAUCCACCCGCCUUGGCCUCCCAAAGUGCUGGGAUUACAGGCAUGAGCCACCGCACCUAGCCAAUUCUACUUCUAUUACAUUUUCAGCAUAUAUCACUUCAUUGCUCCUCCAUAUUAUUUUUCACUGGUCUUCUUACAUCUUGUGUGCCCAUAUUUAAGUAGUUUUCUUUCCAGGUAAAAAAUACAUGUGUGCCUAAAAGAUUUUAAAGUCAACUUUUCAUAAACCAUACCUAAAUUAUCAAAGUUAUUAGAAUUAUUAGAAAGUAUUAGCUAAUUCUUUUAUAAAAUGUAGACUUUAUUAUUUUAGAAAUAUUGAUUCCUCUCUAUUCAGCUAUCUUAAAGAGGGUAUAUUUUAAUCAUCGCAAUAUAUUACCUUCAUAGUAUUUUUUACUUUUGCAAAGUAUAUUUUGUCAUGUUAUUUCAUUUAGGAAUGCACUAAAUCUACAUAUCUACAUAUGAUUAUACAAGGAAACAUCUUUGUCUCAAAAAUGGGUUCUAUUACAUUUUUUAAUUUCCAGGGGUCAUGAUAUAUAAAAAGACCUGAUUUAUCUUAAAAAUACAUACUUUUAUUCUUACCUACCAUACAUCUUUUUUUGUGAUAAUCAGAAGGCUUAAUUUACUAUAAAAUAGGAAAACAACAGCUAUGUUAGAUUAUAUAGUUAAUUUAGGGAUUAAAUGAGUUAAGGUCUACAAGCCCCUGGCACAUGGCAGACAAUCAAUAAUUGAUCAUUUCCUUUGCAUCUAUAAAUUUGUUCAUUCACUUCUCAUGUGGUUCUACCUUAGACAACGAUUUUUGUUUACAGAGACAAAUAGAAGUAUCUAAUCCUAAAUAACCCAAUCAAUUGGUAAAGGCUACACUACAAAGCUGGCAUGACUUCACCAAAUGCUAGAGAAACAGUGUUAAGAGUGACAACACUAAAAGUCUUACACUCUGAUGAUGCUAGUUGCCGCCGAAUUGCUUCCCCUACCAGUUCCUUAAGUUUCUUCUUAUGAUCCCGGCUGGUUUUCUUAUAGAAAUAAAGAUCUUUUUCCAACUGCUGGAUUUUAUCUUCAUAUGUUUUGAAAGUUUCCAUAAUGCCUUCUCCAUCUUGUUCUAUACAACAAAAAUUUGCAUUUAAAAUCAGUUUUAAAUAAAUGAUGCAAAAUUAUGUUUUUGUUUGUUUCUUUGUCUUUUUGAAACGGAGUCUUGCACUGUCGCCCAGGCUAGAGUGCAGUGGCGUGAUAUGCUCGGCUCACUGUAAGCUCCGCCACCCAGGUUCACACCAUUCUCCUGCCUCCGCCUCCCAAGUAGCUGGGACUACAGGUGCCCAGCACCACGCCCGGCUAAUUUUUUUGUAUUUUUAGUAGAGACGAGGUUUCAUCAUGUUAGCCAGGAUGGUCUCGAUCUCCUGACCUCGUGAACUGCC